RNAcentral lists this ribosomal RNA (447 nucleotides) under uncultured bacterium. Its description in RNAcentral is "bacterial SSU rRNA". It matches the Rfam family "Bacterial small subunit ribosomal RNA", at positions 29 to 496 of the family's 1533-position model. The record is from RNAcentral.
AACGAACGCUGGCGGCAGGCCUAACACAUGCAAGUCGAGCGCCCGUAGCAAUACGGGAGCGGCAGACGGGUGAGUAACACGUGGGAACGUGCCCAAAGGUACGGAACAACUCCGGGAAACUGGAGCUAAUACCGUAUGUGCCCGAAAGGGGAAGAUUUAUCGCCUUUGGAUCGGCCCGCGUCUGAUUAGCUAGUUGGUGAGGUAAUGGCUCACCAAGGCGACGAUCAGUAGCUGGCUGAGAGGAUGAUCAGCCACACUGGGACUGAGACACGGCCCAGACUCCUACGGGAGGCAGCAGUGGGGAAUAUUGGACAAUGGGCGCAAGCCUGAUCCAGCCAUGCCGCGUGAGUGAUGAAGGCCCUAGGGUUGUAAAGCACUUUAGGCUAGGAAAGAAAAGACUUCACCUAAUACGUGAAGCCUUGACGGUACCAGCAGAAUAAGCACCGG